UACAGAGGGUGCAAGCGUUGUUCGGAAUUAUUGGGCGUAAAGGGAGUGUAGGCGGUUUGGUAAGUCUUCUGUGAAAUCUACGGGCUUAGCCUGUAACGUGCAGAGGAAACUACCAGGCUUGAGUGUCGGAGAGGAUAGGGGAAUACCCGGUGUAGAGGUGAAAUUCGUAGAGAUCGGGUGGAACACCAGUGGCGAAGGCGCCUAUCUGGCUGACAACUGACGCUGAGACUCGAAAGCAUGGGGAGCAAACAGG
This 253-nucleotide ribosomal RNA is filed under the name uncultured bacterium. RNAcentral's name for it is "partial 16S ribosomal RNA". It matches the Rfam family "Bacterial small subunit ribosomal RNA", at positions 524 to 776 of the family's 1533-position model. The record is from RNAcentral.